AAAAUACAAAACUUAGCCAGGCGUGGUGGUGCACGCAUGUAAUCCCAACUACUUGGGAGGCUGAGGCACGAGAAUCGCUUGAACCUGGGAGGCAGAGGUUGCAGUGAGCCGAGAUCGCACCACUGCACUCCAGCCUGGGUGACAGAGUGAGACACUGACUCACGGAAAAAAAAAAAAAAAUCUCACUCUGACAUCCCACCAGAGGUCUUGCCAGCCUACAGGUCCAUUUCCCUUCUUGGUCUUACGUCUCAGGGUCUAAGAGACAGGUAAAUAAAUCAUUAAAAAAUGAUGUAUCUGAUAGUUCAGGGGCCACAGUAAGAUAAUUUUUCAGGCUGAGCAUGGUGGCUCAUGCCUGUAAUCCAGCAUUUUGGAAGGCCAAGAUGAGGAUCACUUGAGGCCAGGAGUUUGAGACCAGCCUGGGCAACAUGGCAAGACCCCCAUCUCUAUGAAAAAUAGAGAUAAGAAGAAGAAAUAAGUGGGCAACAUGGCAAGACCCCCACCUCUAUGAAAAAUAGAGAUAAAAAGAAGAAAUAAAAAAGUGUGUCCCUUUCCCACUGAGCAAAAGCAUCCUCCUGAGGACCCCAGGUGUGUUUUGAGUGUCAAUUCUGGCCGGGUGCUGUGGUGUGGCCGUGAUCGACAACACAGUCCUUGUCCACAAGGAAGUUAAAAUCUUAAGGAAAGCGAGACUGUUGUGGUCCAGCUGAACAUGCCUGUGCAUUGAGACCUAAAGCUCAUAGAGAUGCUCAUUCUAGGGGACCAUCACAGUUUGGCCCCUGCCACCCUCCAACAUCACCAAAACCACUGUUGUUGCAAUUGGGGAACACUCUGACAACUAUUGGACAGAUACCACAUGCCAAGACCCAGAAGAGACAAAUGCAUGUUUUUAGCUAUGUUGUGUAUUCUCAAAGAGCUUACAACCUGAUCAGGAGACGAGAAGUAUUCCAAGUAGUAAAUGGUCAUUGGAAAUACAAA
This 972-nucleotide small RNA is filed under the name Pan troglodytes (chimpanzee). RNAcentral's name for it is "sense overlapping". The record is from RNAcentral. Lineage: Eukaryota; Metazoa; Chordata; Mammalia; Primates; Hominidae.